This 271-nucleotide ribosomal RNA is filed under the name uncultured prokaryote. Its description in RNAcentral is "partial 16S ribosomal RNA". It matches the Rfam family "Bacterial small subunit ribosomal RNA", at positions 524 to 794 of the family's 1533-position model. The record is from RNAcentral.
UACGUAGGGGGCGAGCGUUGUCCGGAAUGAUUGGGCGUAAAGGGCGCGUAGGCGGCCUGUCAAGUCAGUAGUGGAAGUCCAUCUUUCAAGGAUGGAAGUGCUACAGAAACUGAUGGGCUUGAGUGCAGGAGAGGUUAUCGGAAUUCCCGGUGUAGCGGUGAAAUGCGUAGAGAUUGGGAGGAACACCAGUGGCGAAGGCGACUUACUGGGCCGUAACUGACGCUGAGGCGCGAAAGCGUGGGGAGCGAACAGGAUUAGAUACCCGGGUAGU